CCUACGGGAGGCUGCAGUGAGGAAUAUUGGUCAAUGGGCGGAAGCCUGAACCAGCCAAGUCGCGUGAGGGAUUAAGGCCCUGCGGGUCGUAAACCUCUUUUGCCGGGGAGCAGAGGUCCGGACGUGUCCGGGCCGGGAGAGUACCCGGAGAAAAAGCAUCGGCUAACUCCGUGCCAGCAGCCGCGGUAAUACGGAGGUUGCGAGCGUUAUCGGGUUUUAUUGGGUUAAAAGGGUGCGUAGGCGGGCAUUUAAGCCGGCGGUCAAAUGUCGGGGCUCACCCCCGGCCUGCCGUCGGAACUGGGUGCCUUGAGUGGGCGAGAAGUAUGCGGAAUGCGUGGUGUAGCGGUGAAAUGCAUAGAUAUCACGCAGAACCCCGAUUGCGAAGGCAGCAUACCGGCGCCCUACUGACGCUGAGGCACGAAAGUGCGGGUAUCGAACAGGAUUAGAUACCCCUGUAGUC
RNAcentral lists this ribosomal RNA (460 nucleotides) under uncultured bacterium. Its description in RNAcentral is "partial 16S ribosomal RNA". It matches the Rfam family "Bacterial small subunit ribosomal RNA", at positions 338 to 795 of the family's 1533-position model. The record is from RNAcentral.